GCUAAGAUGACAGAAUUUAUGUGUUAGAUUUAGGAUUUAAUUAUGCUAAGGCUUUUAGCA
RNAcentral lists this transfer RNA (60 nucleotides) under Armillifer grandis. RNAcentral's name for it is "tRNA-Leu". The record is from RNAcentral. Lineage: Eukaryota; Metazoa; Arthropoda; Ichthyostraca; Porocephalida; Armilliferidae.